GUAACGAGCGCAACCCUUGCCUUAGUUACCAGCACGUUAUGUGGGCACUCUAAGGAGACUGCCGGUGACAAACCGGAGGAAGUGGGGAUGACGUCAAGUCAUCAUGGCCCUUACGGCCUGGGCUACACACGUGCUACAAUGGUCGGUACAAAGGGUUGCCAAGCCGCGAGGUGGAGCUAAUCCCAUAAAACCGAUCGUAGUCCGGAUCGCAGUCUGCAACUCGACUGCGUGAAGUCGGAAUCGCUAGUAAUCGUGAAUCAGAAUGUCACGGUGAAUACGUUCCCGGGCCUU
RNAcentral lists this ribosomal RNA (291 nucleotides) under uncultured Pseudomonas sp. RNAcentral describes it as "partial 16S ribosomal RNA". It matches the Rfam family "Bacterial small subunit ribosomal RNA", at positions 1089 to 1382 of the family's 1533-position model. The record is from RNAcentral. Lineage: Bacteria; Pseudomonadati; Pseudomonadota; Gammaproteobacteria; Pseudomonadales; Pseudomonadaceae.